ACGGAAGGCAGCAGUAGGGAAUCUUCCACAAUGGGCGAAAGCCUGGUGGAGCAACGCCGCGUGUGUGAUGAAGGGUUUCGGCUCGUAAAAUACUGUUGUAAGAGAAGAAUGACAUUGCGAGUAACUGUUCAAUGUGUGACGGUAUCUUACCAGAAAGGAACGGCUAAAUACGUGCCAGCAGCCGCGGUAAUACGUAUGUUCCAAGCGUUAUCCGGAUUUAUUGGGCGUAAAGCGAGCGCAGACGGUUAUUUAAGUCUGAAGUGAAAGCCCUCAGCUCAACUGAGGAAUUGCUUUGGAAACUGGAUGACUUGAGUGCAGGAGAGGAAAGUGGAACUCCAUGUGUAGCGGUGAAAUGCGUAGAUAUAUGGAAGAACACCAGUGGCGAAGGCGGCUUUCUGGACUGUAACUGACGUUGAGGCUCGAAAGUGUGGGUAGCAAACAGGAUUAGAUACCCUGGUA
RNAcentral lists this ribosomal RNA (459 nucleotides) under uncultured Weissella sp. RNAcentral describes it as "partial 16S ribosomal RNA". It matches the Rfam family "Bacterial small subunit ribosomal RNA", at positions 341 to 792 of the family's 1533-position model. Lineage: Bacteria; Bacillati; Bacillota; Bacilli; Lactobacillales; Lactobacillaceae. The record is from RNAcentral.